CACUUGCCUUGUCUAUGUGUUACACUAAAAUUGGAACCACACAGGGAUUACACAGCCAAUGUGCAAAGAUGACUCACACAUUUGUGAAUCCUUCCAUAUUUGU
Molecule: small nuclear RNA, 103 nt
Organism: Myotis lucifugus (little brown bat)
Lineage: Eukaryota; Metazoa; Chordata; Mammalia; Chiroptera; Vespertilionidae
Source: Ensembl